Molecule: ribosomal RNA, 821 nt
Filed under: alpha proteobacterium SCGC AAA288-L17
Lineage: Bacteria; Pseudomonadati; Pseudomonadota; Alphaproteobacteria
Description: SSU rRNA
Rfam family: Bacterial small subunit ribosomal RNA
Source: RNAcentral
CUAACACAUGCAAGUCGAACGAAGUAGCAAUACUUAGUGGCAAACGGGUGAGAAUAAUGUGGGUCAUCUGCCCAUUGGCUCGGAAUAACAUGGGGAAACUUAUGCUAAUACCGGAUAAGCCUUUACAGGGAAAGCUUUAUGCACCGAUGGAUGAGCCCGCACUUGAUUAGCUAGUUGGUAAGGUAAUGGCUUACCAAGGCUACGAUCGAUAGCUGAUCUGAGAGGAUGAUCAGCCACAUUGGGACUGAGACACGGCCCAAACUCCUACGGGAGGCAGCAGUGGGGAAUCUUGCACAAUGGGGGAAACCCUGAUGCAGCGAUGCCGCGUGAGUGAAGAAGGCCUUUGGGUUGUAAAGCUCUUUCGUCGGGGAAGAAAAUGACUGUACCCGAAUAAGAAGGUCCGGCUAACUUCGUGCCAGCAGCCGCGGUAAUACGAAGGGACCUAGCGUAGUUCGGAAUUACUGGGCUUAAAGAGUUCGUAGGUGGUUAAGAAAGUUGAUGGUGAAAUCCCAAGGCUCAACCUUGGAACUGCCAUCAAAACUUUUUAGCUAGAGUGUGAUAGAGGGAAGUGGAAUUUCUAGUGUAGAGGUGAAAUUCGUAGAUAUUAGAAAGAACACCGAUUGCGAAGGCAGCUUCCUGGAUCAUUACUGACACUGAGGAACGAAAGCAUGGGUAGCGAAGAGGAUUAGAUACCCUCGUAGUCCAUGCCGUAAACGAUGUGUGCUAGACGUUGGGAAUUUUAUUUUCAGUGUCGCAGCAAAAGCGUUAAGCACACCGCCUGGGGAGUACGACCGCAAGUUAAACUCAAAUGAAUGACGUCA